Molecule: ribosomal RNA, 253 nt
Filed under: uncultured bacterium
Lineage: Bacteria
Description: partial 16S ribosomal RNA
Rfam family: Bacterial small subunit ribosomal RNA
Source: RNAcentral
UACGUAGGUGGCAAGCGUUGUCCGGAUUUACUGGGCGUAAAGAGCGCGCAGGCGGUCGUUCAAGUCGCGUGUGAAAGCCCCCGGCUCAACUGGGGAGGGUCACGCGAUACUGAUCGACUCGAAAGCAGGAGAGGGAAGUGGAAUUCCCGGUGUAGUGGUGAAAUGCGUAGAUAUCGGGAGGAACACCAGUGGCGAAGGCGACUUCCUGGCCUGUUCUUGACGCUGAGGCGCGAAAGCUAGGGGAGCAAACGGG